AACGAACGCUGGCGGCAUGCCUAACACAUGCAAGUCGAACGAGGCCCUUCGGGGUUUAGUGGCGCACGGGUGCGUAACGCGUGGGAAUCUGCCCUUUGGUUCGGAAUAAACAGCUGGAAAACGGCUGCUAAUACCGGAUGAUGACGAAAGUCCAAAGAUUUAUCGCCAGAGGAUGAGCCCGCGUUGGAUUGGUAGUUGGGGGNNGGGUAAAGGCCUACCAAGCCGACGAUCCAUAGCUGGUCUGAGAGGAUGAUCAGCCACACUGGGACUGAGACACGGCCCAGACUCCUACGGGAGGCAGCAGUGGGGAAUAUUGGACAAUGGGCGCAAGCCUGAUCCAGCAAUGCCGCGUGAGUGAUGAAGGCCCUAGGGUUGUAAAGCUCUUUUACCCGGGAAGAUAAUGACUGUACCGGGAGAAUAAGCCCCGGCUAACUCCGUG
Molecule: ribosomal RNA, 439 nt
Filed under: uncultured bacterium
Lineage: Bacteria
Description: bacterial SSU rRNA
Rfam family: Bacterial small subunit ribosomal RNA
Source: RNAcentral